This 369-nucleotide ribosomal RNA is filed under the name uncultured bacterium. Its description in RNAcentral is "bacterial SSU rRNA". It matches the Rfam family "Bacterial small subunit ribosomal RNA", at positions 527 to 898 of the family's 1533-position model. The record is from RNAcentral.
GGAGGGUGCAAGCGUUAUCCGGAUUCACUGGGUUUAAAGGGUGCGUAGGUGGGUUGGUAAGUCCGUGGUGAAAUCUCCGAGCUUAACUCGGAAACUGCCGUGGAUACUAUCAAUCUUGAAUAUCGUGGAGGUAAGCGGAAUAUGUCAUGUAGCGGUGAAAUGCUUAGAUAUGACAUAGAACACCGAUAGCGGAGGCAGCUUACUACGCGAUUAUUGACACUGAGGCACGAAAGCGUGGGGAUCAAACAGGAUUAGAUACCCUGGUAGUCCACGCCCUAAACGAUGGAUACUCGACAUACGCGAUACACUGUGUGUGUCUGAGCGAAAGCAUUAAGUAUCCCACCUGGGAAGUACGACCGCAAGGUUGAA